AGAACACGGCCGGGAUCGAACCGGCAGUCUUCUGAUUAGAAGUCAGACGCGUCCAUUGGGCCACAAAAUA
Molecule: non-coding RNA, 70 nt
Organism: Ostertagia ostertagi
Lineage: Eukaryota; Metazoa; Nematoda; Chromadorea; Rhabditida; Trichostrongylidae
Source: the annotation of a GenBank genome assembly